CAAUAGCGUAUAUUAAAGUUGUUGCGGUUAAAAAGCUCGUAGUUGGAUUUCUGCUGAGAACGACCGGUCCGCCCUCUGGGUGUGUAUCUGGCUCUUUCUUGGCAUCUUCUUGGUGAACGUUGCUGCACUUGACUGUGUGGAGCGCUACCCAGGACUUUUACUUUGAGGAAAUUAGAGUGUUUCAAGCAGGCAUACGCCUUGAAUACAUUAGCAUGGAAUAAUAAGAUAGGACCUCGGUUCUAUUUUGUUGGUUUGCAGACCGAAGUAAUGAUUAAUAGGGAUAGUUGGGGGUAUUUAUAUUCCGAUGUCAGAGGUGAAAUUCUUAGAUUUUCGGAAGAUAAACUUAUGCGAAAGCAUUUACCAAGGAUGUUUUCAUUAA
Molecule: ribosomal RNA, 379 nt
Filed under: uncultured eukaryote
Lineage: Eukaryota
Description: partial 18S ribosomal RNA
Rfam family: Eukaryotic small subunit ribosomal RNA
Source: RNAcentral